This 789-nucleotide ribosomal RNA is filed under the name uncultured archaeon. RNAcentral's name for it is "bacterial SSU rRNA". It matches the Rfam family "Archaeal small subunit ribosomal RNA", at positions 85 to 879 of the family's 1478-position model. The record is from RNAcentral.
ACUGCUCAGUAACACGUCGAUAAUCUGCCCUCAAGUCAAGGAUAGCCACGGGAAACUGUGGGUAAACCUAGAUACACUAAAGCACCUGGAAUGCGCUUUAGUAUAAACUCGUGCUUGAGGAUGAGACGGCGGUCGAUUAGGUAGUUGGUGGAGUAACGGCCCACCAAGCCAAUGAUCGGUACGGGCCUUGAAAGAGGUAGCCCGGAGAGGGACACUGAGAUACUGGUCCCAGCCCUACGGGGUGCAGCAGGCGCGAAACCUUUACAAUGCACGAAAGUGUGAUAAGGGGAUCCUACGUGCUCAUGCAAAGCAUGGGCUUUUGCCAAGUGUAAAUAACUUGGAGAAUAAGUGGUGGGUAAGACUGGUGCCAGCCGCCGCGGUAACACCAGCGCCACAAGUGGCAAUCAGCAUUAUUGGGCCUAAAGCGUCCGUAGCCGGACGUGCACAUCCUUUGUGAAAUUGCCGGGCUUAACCCGGUAGCGCGCAGAGGACACGACACGUCUAGGGAAUGGGAGAGGUUAGAGGUAUUUGUAGGGGACCGGUAAAAUGGUAUAAUCCUACGAGGACCGCCGAUAGCGAAAGCAUCUAACUAGAACAUGUCCGACGGUGAGGGACGAAAGCCAGGGGAGCGAACCGGAUUAGAUACCCGAGUAGUCCUGGCCGUAAACGCUGCGAGCUAGGUGUUGCGCUUUCUCUAAGAAAGUGCAGUAUCGAAGCGAAGGCAAUAAGCUCGCCGCCUGGGGAGUACGGUCGCAAGGCUGAAACUUAAAGGAAUUGGCGGGGGAGCAC